Non-coding RNA from Sus scrofa (pig), 2604 nucleotides. Lineage: Eukaryota; Metazoa; Chordata; Mammalia; Artiodactyla; Suidae. The record is from RefSeq and is a predicted model, not a curated record.
UCCAUAUGCCAUGGGUGUGGCCCUAAAAGACACACACACACACACACACACACGAAACACUGGUUGCAAGAGAUAGAUUUGAUUUUUGUUGUAACAGAGAGCAAGAGCUUCUUUUUAUUCCCAGAGAUGAAUACAAUUCAUUUGGCCUCUUCUGUAUACACAUAGCAUUAGUCACCUCAGGUCCACUGCCAGCAUUUCUGAGUCGACUCCAUUCCGGACUGUGGGGACGAUGAGCAAUGCAGCCUUUCCCUCUUGUUACCAUUGUCUUCCAUCUGUGGCACUUUCUGUCACUUAGUUUCCAAUUUGCUUGAAAUAGUUUUAUUUACUCUAAAGUAGGAUGGUGCUUAUGUUGCCCAUGCCGGCUCUGCAGCUCCAUCAUCCCAGAAGAUGCUGUCAGCACAGUAUUAGAGAAUAAAAAGCUAACAGGUGGAAUCGGGAAAAGCCAGCAGCAUGCACAGAUGGCAGUGGGAAAAAAAUUUAACUUUAUUCUGCUUCAGGCAUUCUUUGUAUUUCCAUACUUUUGCUAAUGUGGCACAAAGAUACUAUCUAUACUCGUGGGAGAGGCACGAGUAGAAUUUGAUUUUAGUGAUUUGGUUCCAGCAUUUGUUUUAUCCUCCCAUGAAAUCUGUUACCUGCUUUGCUAAGAAAUAACACAAUAGGUUUAAAGCUCUGCAGACUGGUCCAAAGGCUCAGUUCAGUUCAUGUUUAUUGCCUCCUUAUUGUGUAUAUAACACUGUGGUUAUAAAGAUGAUAACAGCGUAGUUCCUCUUAGGUUAGCCAAGAGAGACAAAGGCAAAGGAAGCCUGGGCUCAGAUUGAGACACUGCCUAUGCUUCAUAAUAUUUUUGGAAGAAAUGAAUCAAGUGCUAGAUUUCUUGAUCAGUACCAACAAUCCAUUUUGGCAAGAGGUGGAGAUGGAAGGCCAAAUGGGUGCUUUACAAGGAUUCACCGGUGUGAUUUUCCCAGCCAGCCUAUGAAGUAGCUGCCAUUACAUCUUAAAUUUACAGAUGAUGAAACUGAGCCCCAGAGAAGUUAAACAACCUGCGCCAGGUGACAGAGCUAAUAAAUGGCUGGAAAAAAAAAGUCCUGUGAUUUGUACAGCUGUGACCGAGAGGAGCCAACUGACACUUGAAGGCAAAGGGAGAUGGAAAAUGAAAGAAUAAAUGAGUGGAAAAUUCCACCACUGAGAAUCCCAUACUCUCUCAAGGACAAGAUUGUUACUCGAGAAGGCUCUGUUGAAUUUUUGGCAUUCUUGUGUUAUCUCGCUUUGAAGAUGGAAUGUAAACCGUGGUUUGCAGCCAGGAUCACUGUUCUCUGAAGUGGACUCAGAUUUGCUGGAACUCUUUGACUCGGAUCCUUGACCAAGACUUAGCAAGUGGCAAGUGUUCAAUGUGGCUUUGACAGCCUCAUCAAUACCGGGCUUCGGUCAGCCACGAGAAAUCCAGCAGAGUUGCCGAGCAAGGUGAACACUGUCUUUGAUGCAGAAAAUACCUGGAAAUUCCUAGAGAAGGCUGUCUUUUUCCUCACCAGUAAAUCAAGGCAGAAGUGGACUAGAAGAAUUCUAUGAAGGAAGACACAUCCUGCUAAAGCCAGAGGUGCUUGCUGUCCAUCCCAACCUCAUUUGGAAUAUUUCUGUGGCUCAGAUUCAGUGAACUCCAAACACGUGGACCAGUGCUCCUGUGGCCAUCACACUACGUCAAGGGUGAAGUCUGUUAAAACAAAUGAAGGGAUUGUUACCCAGCAUCUUGUCGAGCAAGUAUGAUAAUCGGAAAAAAGAGGAGGUUGUUGAAGAAGUGUUCAGAAGAGAGUGGGACUUUGAAAAUGGAAGAUGGAUAAACUGCAAGAUGAUUCAUUACCAGCUAGAAAAAUAACCAACAUCCAGGACAGCAAUUCAGAGAGGAAGUUACGGAAAGAAUGGGCAUAAGAAGUUUGGAGUCACUGUGAUUAAAGGGGUCUUCCUGAGUGACAAGAGACCUUGUGCUCCAGACCGAAUGUUUUGCAGAGCCCUUGAUUGCUCCAGUUUUCUCAGACUCUGCUGAAGAAGUUCUGGCAUCUCUACCUCAUUUUACAGGCAAAGAAGACUCUUAAGCAGUGAGACACAGGGACUUGAAGAGGAAGUUACCAAUAUGCAUGGAAAUUGUCCCCUAAAGUGACCUCCCAGAAAAAAGGCACAGGAAUGGGAUACUGACGGUGUCUGCCACAGGUGCAAGAGAACAGCAGCCAUUUGGACUACUUACAAACAUUUGUGAAGAUCUUUAUAAGUACAGCCAGAAUGCUUUCCAGAUAAGAUCCUGGGUCUAGUCCAAGCUUUAUGACUUGGCUUCUACGGGGCUCAAGUUGUUUUGUCUGUCAGAAGAGGCAGCUAGACUAGACAACCUAUAAGGUAGGCUUUAGCACUAACUUUUCUGAUCCUAAGAAUAACUUCCAGUGUCACCUGGCGAGGUGCGGGGUGGGGGCUGGGGAGGUGACCAGCUGGAGCCCAGCUGGGCUACUAGGAAUUCUGUGAGCCUGAGAGGGACUGAGAUUUUGACCUCCCAUCACUGGCUCCCUGUCCUCUGUUUACGGAGGUAUCCACUUGAGUUGACCAAGUAAAAGCUUGUCUGAC